Long non-coding RNA from Nematostella vectensis (starlet sea anemone), 352 nucleotides. RefSeq lists it as uncharacterized. Lineage: Eukaryota; Metazoa; Cnidaria; Anthozoa; Actiniaria; Edwardsiidae. The transcript has 2 exons. The record is from RefSeq and is a predicted model, not a curated record.
CGCUCAGAGAUUUUGGUGACCCUUUCGCAUUCGUGGGUUGCCUUUCCGGUGACCGUUGAACAUCUGAGACAUUUAUAUGGCUGUAAUCUAACUCUAGAAGCCCAGUCCCGUAAUCGAACGACUCAUCACCGAAACAUUGUCAGAGGACUCUGUUUGUAAGGGGGUGGAGUCGUCAAGAGAAUACAAAAAACAUGAGGGACAGCAGAAUGGGUGUGGUUAACACAAAUUUUAACCCCAAAGAGAUAGGAAAAAGGUGCAGGUGAAGUCUUAUAUUAGUGGAUCAAUCUAUAUCCAUGACCAUCUCAAGACAACAUAAGGGAAAGAAGACUUAAAAAGAACACUAUAAAGACUA